Molecule: long non-coding RNA, 299 nt
Organism: Seriola aureovittata
Lineage: Eukaryota; Metazoa; Chordata; Actinopteri; Carangiformes; Carangidae
Exons: 3
Source: RefSeq, a predicted model, not a curated record
AGUCCUGGUGCACGAGCUGAUCCUGGAGGUCGGGGAAGACAUCGUGUCACAGACUAUGAAAGAAAGACAGAAAAGCAUUUUAUCUAAGAGAGUUAAUGACUACAUUACUCAAGGAGAGUGGGAAAAAUGUUUGGAUGUUGUUGAAGACUUCAUUGACCCAACAGGAGAACACUCGGAUCCGGUGUCUUCGAUCAGCAACCUUACUGUAGUAACUGAAGGCCAGCACAAGGACCUCUGCCAGCAGGGGGAACAAGAACAAAGAUUGCCGCUAUGAUAGUUAUUUCUCAAAUAUCACCACC